Molecule: non-coding RNA, 274 nt
Organism: Thamnophis sirtalis
Lineage: Eukaryota; Metazoa; Chordata; Lepidosauria; Squamata; Natricidae
Source: RefSeq, a predicted model, not a curated record
UUAAACAUUGACCAGGUUGGCUUCAGGCAAGGAAGUGCUUGUCAUGUUGAAAUCAAUACUAGUUGGCUAGAAUGUGCCAGGCGUCAACAUGCCACCUUUCUUACGUCAAUAAAGCCCCAAACUCUUUUACCUUGGAACUUUUAUCUAUACACCUUGACCUGUUCCUUUGUGAUGUGGCAGAGAAAGGCUACUACUGGUAUGGAUUCUCGCACUCUGACAGCCCAAAGAAUGGAAGAAGAGGAACUGCUGAAGGAAAGGUUUCAGGCCAUCACGG